This 253-nucleotide ribosomal RNA is filed under the name uncultured bacterium. RNAcentral describes it as "partial 16S ribosomal RNA". It matches the Rfam family "Bacterial small subunit ribosomal RNA", at positions 524 to 776 of the family's 1533-position model. The record is from RNAcentral.
UACGGAGGGUGCAAGCGUUAUCCGGAUUUACUGGGUUUAAAGGGUGCGUAGGCGGCCCUGUAAGUCAGUGGUGAAAUGCUCUAGCUUAACUAGAGAGGUGCCAAUGAUACUGCAGGGCUUGAGUACAGAUGAGGUAGGCGGAAUUGACGGUGUAGCGGUGAAAUGCAUAGAUAUCGUCAAGAACACCUAUAGCGAAGGCAGCUUACUGGGCUGUAACUGACGCUGAGGCACGAAAGUGUGGGGAUCAAACAGG